GCCCGGAGGCAGAUAAUUGAAGUCUGUCAGCGCAGGCUUCUCAGGAAGAGAGAUCCCGAAGCAUCCCAGCGCAUCCGUGUCAGCGUUUACAGGAGGAAGAUUCAGCCGGAAAUGAGGAGGACCAGCGGUUCAGGGUGCGGCUCCAAUGGAGAGGCGGUCCCAGUGUAAUCGUGUUGGCGUCUGGCAACUGAAGAAUCAGCCGGCAAUAAGCUUUCAGAAGAGGACUGCUGGUAUAAGAAUGAGGUAGAAGAAGCCAACUUUAGGAGUGAGAGGACCCGCCCUGUGCCCGCUUUGAGCGGCUCUCCGCCAGCUAAGGAAUUUAAACUGAAUGGGCCCAGAGUUUACAGAGUCGAUGGAUCUAAGGUGGAAUUCAACUUCACAGUGGUGCUGGCCAUUUUGAUGGAUGAGUUCACGGGUGUCAAGUUCACGGCUGUCAAGAUCUUCUGUGAUGUUCUGGAGGCAGCCAAUAAAUGGGAUGUAUUUGUCUACAUCCUUCUUAACCAAAGCAGAGUGAAGCUGUUUAGUGCAACAGGGCUCACAUCUGGACAUCUACCUCAAGGGUUUCGUGCAAUUGAUGCUUCCUCUCUGCUAUUAUCGUGCCCUGCGGAAAAUGAGUGGGAUGUGUGAUUCUGGGAAACCAGGCAAAAGAGAGAAACAGUCUCCAGUCUGAAGAUUUCGACUGACCAGCACGGGCAUCCCAUGCAUCUAUCGGAUACAUAGCUGUCGGUCCUUCGAGCGGCUAACUAAACUAACGACGAAGAUUGGCGCUUCAGAUUGUCACAUUCCUGGGGGUCAGUCGGCCAUUAACUUCGCCACUUUUCCUUUUCCUCCUUAAUUUUACCUCGAAAUGCAGUAUGCAAAAGUUAAGAGCAAGGACUCAAUUCCAAGCAUUUUGAAUAUUCUGAAAUUAUUUUAGAAGUCAAAAAAGAGGCCAUCCAGGAUAACUCACUGUCCUAGUAAUAGUUCUUUUUAUUUCUACUGGGAUGCAUGCUAGCUUCAGAAUAGAAGUGCUUCUAUUAUCAAUAUCAAUCAAUCAAUGAUAUGUAUUGAGCACUUAAUAAUAAUA
Ornithorhynchus anatinus (platypus) is the source of this 1066-nucleotide long non-coding RNA. RefSeq lists it as uncharacterized. The record is from RefSeq and is a predicted model, not a curated record. The transcript has 5 exons. NCBI's taxonomy places the organism in Eukaryota, Metazoa, Chordata, Mammalia, Monotremata, Ornithorhynchidae.